RNAcentral lists this small nucleolar RNA (73 nucleotides) under Sciurus vulgaris (Eurasian red squirrel). Lineage: Eukaryota; Metazoa; Chordata; Mammalia; Rodentia; Sciuridae. The record is from RNAcentral.
GUGCAAUGAUGCAUGAGUUUUACCUGAAAUCCCUGUGAGGGUUGGAAUCCGAGCUUUUUAACACUGAGUCACA